This is a non-coding RNA of Triticum aestivum (bread wheat), 135 nucleotides long. NCBI's taxonomy places the organism in Eukaryota, Viridiplantae, Streptophyta, Magnoliopsida, Poales, Poaceae. The record is from Rfam.
AUGAUACUCCCUCCGUUCGGAAAUACUUGUCAUCAAAAUGAAUAAAAGAGGAUGUAUCUAGACGUAUUUUAGUUCAAGAUACAUCUCUUUUCAUCCAUUUCGAUGACAAGUAUUUUCGGACGGAGGGAGUAGCAC